This 72-nucleotide transfer RNA is filed under the name bacterium. Its description in RNAcentral is "tRNA-Cys". It matches the Rfam family "tRNA". Rfam says of the family: Transfer RNA (tRNA) molecules are approximately 80 nucleotides in length. Their secondary structure includes four short double-helical elements and three loops (D, anti-codon, and T loops). RNAcentral also lists the same sequence under 1 other name. The record is from RNAcentral.
GGCGCGGUGGCGAAGAGGUAACGCAGGAGUCUGCAAAACUUCCAUGCAAGGGUUCGAUUCCCUUCCGCGCCU